RNAcentral lists this non-coding RNA (23 nucleotides) under Rattus norvegicus (Norway rat). Lineage: Eukaryota; Metazoa; Chordata; Mammalia; Rodentia; Muridae. The record is from RNAcentral.
UGAGUAGUGAGCAAGUCAGGGGA